RNAcentral lists this unclassified non-coding RNA (332 nucleotides) under uncultured fungus. RNAcentral's name for it is "partial contains small subunit ribosomal RNA, internal transcribed spacer 1, and 5.8S ribosomal RNA". The stretch from base 1 to 73 matches the Rfam family "Eukaryotic small subunit ribosomal RNA", at positions 1759 to 1831 of the family's 1831-position model. Lineage: Eukaryota; Fungi. The record is from RNAcentral.
GCAAACUUGGUCAUUUAGAGGAAGUAAAAGUCGUAACAAGGUUUCCGUAGGUGAACCUGCGGAAGGAUCAUUAACAAAUCAUCAAAAACAACCAUGUGUCAAUGUCUUCUUUCCCUUGAUGUGUGGGUGUAGUAGUUGUUGGAGAUGUCGAGGCAGUAAUAUAUAUUAUAUUAUUCAUUCUUCAUCUCCUCUCUCUCCCCUCUCUCUCAAGGGAAACGAUUACUUAUUUAAUUAAUGACUAUCAAUAUGACAGCCUUAGAUCAUUAUUAUUAAAAUUUUAAACAACUUUUAACAAUGGAUCUCUUGGCUCUUGCAUCGAUGAAGAACGCAGC